RNAcentral lists this ribosomal RNA (505 nucleotides) under uncultured bacterium. Its description in RNAcentral is "bacterial SSU rRNA". It matches the Rfam family "Bacterial small subunit ribosomal RNA", at positions 15 to 507 of the family's 1533-position model. The record is from RNAcentral.
GAUCAUGGCUCAGGAUGAACGCUAGCUACAGGCUUAACACAUGCAAGUCGAGGGGAAACGACAUCGAAAGCUUGCUUUGGUGGGCGUCGACCGGCGCACGGGUGAGUAACGCGUAUCCAACCUGCCCACCACGUUGGGGAUAACCUUGCGAAAGUAAGACUAAUACCCAAUGAUAUCCCACGAAGGCAUCGGAAUGGGAUUAAAGAUUUAUCGGUGAUGGAUGGGGAUGCGUCUGAUUAGCUUGUUGGCGGGGUAACGGCCCACCAAGGCGACGAUCAGUAGGGGUUCUGAGAGGAAGGUCCCCCACAUUGGAACUGAGACACGGUCCAAACUCCUACGGGAGACAGCAGUGAGGAAUAUUGGUCAAUGGGCGAGAGCCUGAACCAGCCAAGUAGCGUGCAGGAUGACGGCCCUAUGGGUUGUAAACUGCUUUUAUAAGGGAAUAAAGUGGGUCUCGUGAGACUCUUUGCAUGUACCUUAUGAAUAAGGACCGGCUAAUUCCGUG